This 460-nucleotide ribosomal RNA is filed under the name uncultured bacterium. RNAcentral describes it as "partial 16S ribosomal RNA". It matches the Rfam family "Bacterial small subunit ribosomal RNA", at positions 338 to 795 of the family's 1533-position model. The record is from RNAcentral.
CCUACGGGAGGCAGCAGUGAGGAAUAUUGGUCAAUGGACGAGAGUCUGAACCAGCCAAGUCGCGUGCAGGAUGACUGCCCUAUGGGUUGUAAACUUCUUUUAUACGGGGAUAAACUGAUACACGCGUGGCUUUUUGUAAGUAUCCUAUGAAUAAGGAUCGGCUAACUCCGUGCCAGCAGCCGCGGUAAUACGGAGGAUUCGAGCGUUAUCCGGAUUUAUUGGGUUUAAAGGGAGCGUAGGCGGUUUGUUAAGUUAGUGGUGAAAGUUUGCGGCUCAACCGUGGAAUUGCAGUUGAAACUGGCAGGCUAGAGAACAGGUGAGGUGGGCGGAAUGCGUGGUGUAGCGGUGAAAUGCUUAGAUAUCACAAAGAACUCCGAUUGCGAAGGCAGCUCACUAAGCUGCCUCUGACGCUGAGGCUCGAAAGUGGGGGUAUCAAACAGGAUUAGAUACCCCAGUAGUC